AGUGAACGCUGGCGGUAGGCCUAACACAUGCAAGUCGAACGGCAGCACAGUAAGAGCUUGCUCUUACGGGUGGCGAGUGGCGGACGGGUGAGGAAUACAUCGGAAUCUACUUUUUCGUGGGGGAUAACGUAGGGAAACUUACGCUAAUACCGCAUACGACCUACGGGUGAAAGCAGGGGAUCUUCGGACCUUGCGCGAUUGAAUGAGCCGAUGUCGGAUUAGCUAGUUGGCGGGGUAAAGGCCCACCAAGGCGACGAUCCGUAGAUGGUCUGAGCGGAUGAUCAGCCACACUGGAACUGAGACACGGUCCAGACUCCUACGGGAGGCAGCAGUGGGGAAUAUUGGACAAUGGGCGCAAGCCUGAUCCAGCCAUACCGCGUGGGUGAAGAAGGCCUUCGGGUUGUAAAGCCCUUUUGUUGGGAAAGAAAAGCAGCAGGUUAAUACCCCGCUGUUCUGACGGUACCCAAAGAAUAAGCACCGGCUAACUUCGUG
Molecule: ribosomal RNA, 492 nt
Filed under: uncultured bacterium
Lineage: Bacteria
Description: partial 16S ribosomal RNA
Rfam family: Bacterial small subunit ribosomal RNA
Source: RNAcentral